GAUGAACGCUGGCGGCGUGCCUAAUACAUGCAAGUCGAGCGAACAGAUAAGGAGCUUGCUCCUUUGACGUUAGCGGCGGACGGGUGAGUAACACGUGGGUAACCUACCUAUAAGACUGGGAUAACUUCGGGAAACCGGAGCUAAUACCGGAUAACAUUUGGAACCGCAUGGUUCUAAAGUGAAAGAUGGUUUUGCUAUCACUUAUAGAUGGACCCGCGCCGUAUUAGCUAGUUGGUAAGGUAACGGCUUACCAAGGCGACGAUACGUAGCCGACCUGAGAGGGUGAUCGGCCACACUGGAACUGAGACACGGUCCAGACUCCUACGGGAGGCAGCAGUAGGGAAUCUUCCGCAAUGGGCGAAAGCCUGACGGAGCAACGCCGCGUGAGUGAUGAAGGGUCUCGGCUCGUAAAACUCUGUUAUUAGGGAAGAACAAACGUGUAAGUAACUGUGCACGUCUUGACGGUACCUAAUCAGAAAGCCACGGCUAACUACGUG
This 497-nucleotide ribosomal RNA is filed under the name uncultured bacterium. RNAcentral describes it as "partial 16S ribosomal RNA". It matches the Rfam family "Bacterial small subunit ribosomal RNA", at positions 28 to 507 of the family's 1533-position model. The record is from RNAcentral.